UAAAUCUACUGGAUACAAAAAAAUCAUGGACUAAAUAUAGACAUUGGAUUUAUGACACAUUAUAAACCUGCCUUCCAUCUGAUGGCUCCAGGUAGCUGGGUUGACUCCCAGGCUUCUUUCCUUGCAGUGUUCUCCAAAUGGUUUUGCAUGGUAUCACCUUCUUAUCCAAUAGGGAAGAAAAAAAUCUUGGAGCCAGCUUCAGCAGUUUGUGUUUAGAUGAACCAUCUCUACUUCUGGCUCCCCAUCUCCCUCACUGAGGGCUGUAACUCCAGCUCAGACACCCUGCCUGGCUCCAUUGAACAAGCCAAUGCAGGAAGCAGGCACUAUACUCCAGUGUACGUGCCUUCCAGGGGAAGGCUGAAAAAGCAAAGGGCAGAUGCAGGAAGGUCCAAGCAUGGCAGGAGAAUAAAAACUGGUCAAGCACUUAGCAAGAGUAAAAUAAAAUGGUAUAAUGCAGCAAAAAUUGUGAAGCCUUUGUAUGGUGUUAGUUCUACAGCCGGCAUUAAAUCAAUUAAUUUUAGCAAGCUGAAGUCUUAAAAGGCAUCCUUUUAUUUUUUUUGUUUAAUAUUCUACCUGCUGGACCGAAGCAGUACUGUACUUGGAUCUUGAGAAAGAGCUUCCAAAGCUAAGAAUAUAUUAAAAAUGGGAAAUAUUAAGAUGGCUGUAGAAUACAGACUUAAUGCAAUUAAAAUACAUGAGCAUCUCCAGAUUUCAUCAACUACAUUUUGAUAUGUGGAUGGCAUCUGUCCAAAAAAAUCCAGACAGGGAUUUCCACAGGAAGGAUUGCCCACAGAAACUUUGGGGUAAGUCUUCUUGAUAUUUACCUGUUUUAGUUUUGGUGUAAAGUUAAAUCAGCCUGGUCCACAGACUGUAGUGCAUGAAGCACAGGCCUAAUCCAUAGUUUCUGAUCUCUUUUGCUUCUGAAUCCAGUGGAUUGUUCAGUAUUUCAUAAGCUGUAAUUGCCAAUACUUUACUACCUAGUAGAGAUGACCAUUGUGGUCUGCUACAAGCAAUUACAUAUGAUACCGUACACCUCUCUUCCUUAAGCAGGGGGUUUGACUAGAUGACCUCGAGGUCCCUUCCAGUUCUACUUCUGUAUGAUUUCUACCAUUCUAAUUACCCCAUUCUCUUCCUCCACCCCUGUGGCAACAGAACUUGGGAGGAGUAUUGCAAGGACACACCAGUAGGCUGUACUUGCUAAUAAAUGGUGUCAGCAAACUUUGGAAGACUAUUAGUUACAGCAGAGCUUAUUAGUUUGAAAAGCUGAGAACACAGAAAACUGGGAUGAUACAGUAAGGAACACGAGACCAUUUUUAAGGUGCACCAUUCUACACUUACUCACCAUGCUGCAUAGCCUCUGAAGAGGAAAACAUCAGGACCAACAGAAAUAAAUUCCCUUCCUUUGGCAUCCAGGUUGUUUUUGAAGAUUCAGAUUCAGCCAUCAUCUUUAAUGUACACAUAGCUGCAAGAAUUUGUUAGUUUCCUGUGCCCACAGUAGCUUAAAGAGCAUUUUGUAACAGACUAAAUAAAAGCAGUAUCUGCAUUUCUAGUCAACUAUUUCAAAGUAUUAUACAGACAGUUUCUCUUAAUGUCAGAGAGUCAGGUAUUACUCCCUCUGAAUUACAUGAAGGUGCAAAUUUCAUUCCCAUCUGAAGAGAGAAGAAUCCAAAGUCAUCAGUAAACAGAAAGGUUCCCCAAAAAAAUUUAUUUUCAUAAAUUAAACACACACACACAAAAAAUGAAAUUUUAGAUUCACAAACUACUAAACAGAAACAAAACUGCAGGGACAUGAUAGAUCAGUGUUAUAAAAGUGUACAAAUUUUCACCCAACUAUUAGCAUGACGGCAUCAGACAUCUCAUCCAGGCAGUUAUUACCAGCGCU
Gavialis gangeticus (Gharial) is the source of this 1882-nucleotide long non-coding RNA. RefSeq lists it as uncharacterized. The record is from RefSeq and is a predicted model, not a curated record. NCBI's taxonomy places the organism in Eukaryota, Metazoa, Chordata, Crocodylia, Gavialidae. The transcript is spliced from 2 exons.